AUUGAACGCUGGCGGCAUGCCUUACACAUGCAAGUCGAACGGUAACGGGCCUUCGGGUGCCGACGAGUGGCGAACGGGUGAGUAAUACAUCGGAACGUGCCCGAUCGUGGGGGAUAACGAGGCGAAAGCUUUGCUAAUACCGCAUACGAUCUACGGAUGGAAGCAGGGGACCGCAAGGCCUUGCGCGGACGGAGCGGCCGAUGGCAGAUUAGGUAGUUGGUGGGAUAAAAGCUUACCAAGCCGACGAUCUGUAGCUGGUCUGAGAGGAUGAUCAGCCACACUGGGACUGAGACACGGCCCAGACUCCUACGGGAGGCAGCAGUGGGGAAUUUUGGACAAUGGGCGCAAGCCUGAUCCAGCCACGCCGCGUGCAGGAUGAAGGCCUUCGGGUUGUAAACUGCUUUUGUACGGAACGAAAAGCCUUCUUUUAAUACAGGAGGGUCAUGACGGUACCGUAAGAAUAAGCACCGGCUAACUACGUG
This 482-nucleotide ribosomal RNA is filed under the name uncultured bacterium. RNAcentral describes it as "partial 16S ribosomal RNA". It matches the Rfam family "Bacterial small subunit ribosomal RNA", at positions 30 to 507 of the family's 1533-position model. The record is from RNAcentral.